This 478-nucleotide ribosomal RNA is filed under the name uncultured bacterium. RNAcentral's name for it is "partial 16S ribosomal RNA". It matches the Rfam family "Bacterial small subunit ribosomal RNA", at positions 28 to 507 of the family's 1533-position model. The record is from RNAcentral.
GAUGAACGCUGGCGGCGUGCUUAACACAUGCAAGUCGAACGAGAAAUGUAGACGGAAACCUUCGGGCGGAAGCCUUCAUUUCGAGUGGCGGACGGGUGAGUAACGCGUGGGUAACCUGCCUCAUACAGGGGGAUAACAGUUGGAAACGACUGUUAAUACCGCAUAAGACCACCGCAUCGCAUGAUGCGGGGGUAAAAACUCCGGUGGUAUGAGAUGGACCCGCGUUCGAUUAGCCAGUUGGCGGGGUAACGGCCCACCAAAGCGACGAUCGAUAGCCGAUCUGAGAGGAUGACCGGCCACAUUGGGACUGAGACACGGCCCAAACUCCUACGGGAGGCAGCAGUGGGGAAUAUUGCACAAUGGGGGAAACCCUGAUGCAGCGACGCCGCGUGAGUGAAGAAGUACUUCGGUAUGUAAAGCUCUAUCAGCAGGGAAGAAAAUGACGGUACCUGAGUAAGAAGCCCCGGCUAACUACGUG